RNAcentral lists this long non-coding RNA (309 nucleotides) under Phoenix dactylifera (date palm). RNAcentral describes it as "long non-coding RNA (PDAC_LNC006617)". Lineage: Eukaryota; Viridiplantae; Streptophyta; Magnoliopsida; Arecales; Arecaceae. The record is from RNAcentral.
GGCAAAGGUGGUGCUAAAGGAAGAAGAGAAAGUGAAGAGGAGAAAUCAAGGAAGAGAAGAAAGAAGGGGUCUAAGGUAGUAUAAGCAUUCAGUCGAGCCCCUAGCUUACACUUCGACCAACUAGAUCCACUGGUGAUGGGUGGAGUUGAAGGGAAAAAAGAGGAAAAGGCUAUGGUUUCGACAUCGAUCGAGCAGCAGAGUUCGGCGAAGGAAUGCACAAUCCAGAUUCUUCUCCAAGGAAUGCACAAUCUCUACAAGAUAUAAUAUGACUCUUAUAAUGUUUCUUAUAUUGCUUGCAAGCCAAAUAAG